This 606-nucleotide ribosomal RNA is filed under the name uncultured Eubacteriales bacterium. RNAcentral's name for it is "bacterial SSU rRNA". It matches the Rfam family "Bacterial small subunit ribosomal RNA", at positions 11 to 588 of the family's 1533-position model. Lineage: Bacteria; Bacillati; Bacillota; Clostridia; Eubacteriales. The record is from RNAcentral.
GUUUGAUCCUGGCUCAGGACGAACGCUGGCGGCGUGCCUAAUACAUGCAAGUCGAGCGCAGGAAGCCGUCUGAACCCUUCGGGGGGACGACGGUGGAAUGAGCGGCGGACGGGUGAGUAACACGUAAAGAACCUGCCCAUAGGUCUGGGAUAACCACGAGAAAUCGGGGCUAAUACCGGAUGUGUCAUCGGACCGCAUGGUCCGCUGAUGAAAGGCGCUCCGGCGUCGCCCAUGGAUGGCUUUGCGGUGCAUUAGCUAGUUGGUGGGGUAACGGCCCACCAAGGCGACGAUGCAUAGCCGACCUGAGAGGGUGAUCGGCCACACUGGGACUGAGACACGGCCCAGACUCCUACGGGAGGCAGCAGUAGGGAAUCCUCCACAAUGGACGAAAGUCUGAUGGAGCAACGCCGCGUGAACGAUGAAGGCUUUCGGGUCGUAAAGUUCUGUUGUAAGGGAAGAACAAGUGCCGCAGGCAAUGGCGGCACCUUGACGGUACCUUGCGAGAAAGCCACGGCUAACUACGUGCCAGCAGCCGCGGUAAUACGUAGGUGGCAAGCGUUGUCCGGAAUUAUUGGGCGUAAAGCGCGCGCAGGCGGCCUCUUAAGU